Molecule: ribosomal RNA, 432 nt
Filed under: Triticum aestivum (bread wheat)
Lineage: Eukaryota; Viridiplantae; Streptophyta; Magnoliopsida; Poales; Poaceae
Description: partial small subunit ribosomal RNA
Source: RNAcentral
AUGACGGAGGCCCUGAAUGACAAAUACUUGGGCUUGCCAGCAAAUGUGGGCGUUGAUAAAACAGACUGCUUUAAAUUUCUGAUUGAACGUGUUGUUAAGAAAAUUAGUGGCUGGAAGGAAAAACUACUAUCUGCCGGGGGGAAGGAGAUCCUGCUCAAGGCUGUGAUCCUAGCCAUACCUACCUAUGCAAUGUCGGUCUUUAAAAUUCCUAAAAAAAUUUGUAAAGGAAUCAUUGACGCGAUAGCGCAUUUCUGGUGGGGAGACGAGGAGAACCAGAGGAGGAUGCACUGGAUGGCCUGGUGGAAAAUGUGUGUACCAAAAAACCAAGGAGGAAUGGGAUUUUGUGAUAUCCACUGUUUAACCUGGCUCUGUUGGCCAAACAGGCAUGGCGUCUCCUUGAUAAUCCUGAUUCCUUGUGUGCCACUAUUCUAA